RNAcentral lists this ribosomal RNA (308 nucleotides) under Mortierella sp. RNAcentral describes it as "eukaryotic LSU rRNA". Lineage: Eukaryota; Fungi; Mortierellomycota; Mortierellomycetes; Mortierellales; Mortierellaceae. The record is from RNAcentral.
GUUUGAGUAUCAGUAAACACCCCAAAGCUUUUGGUAUUUUUUUAAUCGAAAAGCUUUGGACUUGAGCAAUCCCAACACCAAUCUUUUUGAGAUCGGUGGCGGGUUGCUUGAAAUGCAGGUGCAGCUGGACAUUCUCCUGAGCUAAAAGCAUAUUCAUUUAGUCCCGUCAAACGGAUUAUUACUUUUGCUGCAGCUAACAUAAAGGGAGUUUGACCGUAUUGGCUGACUGAUGCAGGAUUUCACAAGGGUCGGCAACGAUUCUUGUUAAACUCGAUCUCAAAUCAAGUAAGACUACCCGCUGAACUUAA